This 1479-nucleotide ribosomal RNA is filed under the name uncultured bacterium. RNAcentral's name for it is "bacterial SSU rRNA". It matches the Rfam family "Bacterial small subunit ribosomal RNA". The record is from RNAcentral.
AUUGAACGCUGGCGGCAGGCCUAACACAUGCAAGUCGAACGGUAACAGGAAGCAGCUUGCUGCUUUGCUGACGAGUGGCGGACGGGUGAGUAAUGUCUGGGAAACUGCCUGAUGGAGGGGGAUAACUACUGGAAACGGUAGCUAAUACCGCAUAACGUCGCAAGACCAAAGAGGGGGACCUUAGGGCCUCUUGCCAUCGGAUGUGCCCAGAUGGGAUUAGCUAGUAGGUGGGGUAACGGCUCACCUAGGCGACGAUCCCUAGCUGGUCUGAGAGGAUGACCAGCCACACUGGAACUGAGACACGGUCCAGACUCCUACGGGAGGCAGCAGUGGGGAAUAUUGCACAAUGGGCGCAAGCCUGAUGCAGCCAUGCCGCGUGUAUGAAGAAGGCCUUCGGGUUGUAAAGUACUUUCAGCGGGGAGGAAGGGAGUAAAGUUAAUACCUUUGCUCAUUGACGUUACCCGCAGAAGAAGCACCGGCUAACUCCGUGCCAGCAGCCGCGGUAAUACGGAGGGUGCAAGCGUUAAUCGGAAUUACUGGGCGUAAAGCGCACGCAGGCGGUUUGUUAAGUCAGAUGUGAAAUCCCCGGGCUCAACCUGGGAACUGCAUCUGAUACUGGCAAGCUUGAGUCUCGUAGAGGGGGGUAGAAUUCCAGGUGUAGCGGUGAAAUGCGUAGAGAUCUGGAGGAAUACCGGUGGCGAAGGCGGCCCCCUGGACGAAGACUGACGCUCAGGUGCGAAAGCGUGGGGAGCCCCCAGGAUUAGAUACCCUGGUGUCCACGCCGUAAACGAUGUCGACUUGGAGGUUGUGCCCUUGAGGCGUGGCUUCCGGAGCUAACGCGUUAAGUCGACCGCCUGGGGAGUACGGCCGCAAGGUUAAAACUCAAAUGAGUUGACGGGGGCCCGCACAAGCGGUGGAGCAUGUGGUUUAAUUCGAUGCAACGCGAAGAACCUUACCUGGUCUUGACAUCCACGGAAGUUUUCAGAGAUGAGAAUGUGCCUUCGGGAACCGUGAGACAGGUGCUGCAUGGCUGUCGUCAGCUCGUGUUGUGAAAUGUUGGGUUAAGUCCCGCAACGAGCGCAACCCUUAUCCUUUGUUGCCAGCGGUCCGGCCGGGAACUCAAAGGAGACUGCCAGUGAUAAACUGGAGGAAGGUGGGGAUGACGUCAAGUCAUCAUGGCCCUUACGACCAGGGCUACACACGUGCUACAAUGGCGCAUACAAAGAGAAGCGACCUCGCGAGAGCAAGCGGACCUCAUAAAGUGCGUCGUAGUCCGGAUUGGAGUCUGCAACUCGACUCCAUGAAGUCGGAAUCGCUAGUAAUCGUGGAUCAGAAUGCCACGGUGAAUACGUUCCCGGGCCUUGUACACACCGCCCGUCACACCAUGGGAGUGGGUUGCAAAAGAAGUAGGUAGCUUAACCUUCGGGAGGGCGCUUACCACUUUGUGAUUCAUGACUGGGGUGAAGUCGUAACAAGGUA